This 601-nucleotide long non-coding RNA is filed under the name Nicotiana benthamiana. Its description in RNAcentral is "long non-coding RNA (NBEN_LNC022181)". The record is from RNAcentral. Lineage: Eukaryota; Viridiplantae; Streptophyta; Magnoliopsida; Solanales; Solanaceae.
UACCUUAAGGAGAGUUCGGAGGGAUUUGAUAAUAUUAGUGAUUGUUGACUUGGGUCUACAGAUUUAAUCUAAAGCAUGAGCUAUUAUGCGGGAGGAGACUUGGUAUAACGGAAAUGAACUGCUUGAAAUGAAGAAUGAUACAACAUAACUUGAAUGGGAAGGAUGUUGCCGCACAUUUAAUUGAUUUCCACGAGGGUUGAAAGGACUUGUGCAGCUAGAAGGUUAGCUCGGACUCAGGAUAGGUUAUUGAUGUCAUGGUGAUCGUACCCUGUGCAGCAACGUCGGAAGAUGUCGAAAAGUUAUUUUCAUUGGUGGUUUAUUACCUGUGAGCAGGUUAGUAGUAUCGUGGUUAGAGAAGCUUUCGUGAAGAAUUCGAUUUGUUAUAUAGCAAAGAGAUCGAUUGUGCAAAUGUGUUUGAUGAUUCAGAAUAUAAAAACAGGGUUAUACAGAAAGAUUUCGUGAAUUUUGGCAGUUGAUUGUGCAUGGUCGUGUUAAUAAAAGAUUAAGAAUCCUGGCGAAUCCAGAGUUGAGUAAUAGUGGCUUCGAGCUAAGUGGUAGAGUCCCAUCGGCCACGACUGGGUUGUAUGGUUAUUUCCUUGUG